UUGAUCUCUUUCCUCAUAUUUUGUGAACAUUGUAAUUUAUUCCUUUUUUUAUUGGCAGUUUAUCACAAAUGAUACCUAACUUGCCAAAAGGAUGCUCCUGCAGUUUGAGGAGUACGUGCUGCCUAAAUUGGUCCUUCCAGCCUAAGCAUCUGGCACCAUCAACAGCAAUAUUCUUGUCAGAUACAAAAUCAAAGCCACUUCAGCCCUGGCUCUCCAGCCCAACCUUUCUCAUUCAUCGUUACUUCUCGUCAAAAUGAUAUCAGUGAAAUUACACGGACAUUCAGACUUACAGAAGAAGGGAACUUGGAGCAAACUGUUUUUAUGGCAACUUCUGAACAGCCUCUAUUGCAGCAUCUUCACAUAACCUACACACGGAGUUCAUAGCAGUCCAUUCACGUACAGAUUUUCGCUCCAGUCUCUAAAUGCACUGACUGUUCUAAGUGCUCACCAUUUACACUGCGACGUCCUUGUGAUAAACCUGAAGAUUUUAGAAGCUGGAGCUUUUAAUUUUAGUUUUUGAUAGUUUAUUGUAUAAAAAACACACUAUUUUAAUUGUGAAUCACUGUUACUGGGUGCUUUGGAGGUUUAUUGACGCUUCCAUGCAGUUGAUUUUGUAGGAUGUUAGGAUAAUCAGGAAAACUUUCUGAAAUGUGAUUUUUGCUUUGCCCCCUAGUUGAACAAGAUUCCUGUUUCUUUUGUUCAGUCAUUUAAAAAAAAAAUUGUAAAUAAUAAAUUCAGGAAUGCCUACCAGAUGUCGUCUUCCAUUAAAUUACUUGAGGCCUGAUCUCCUGAUUUUUUUUUAAAUUGGAACUUGGAUCUUGUCUUGGGCAGCAUCUCCAACUGAAGGAGCAGUGAGUAACCGUGUCCUGGAACUCACCGUACUCCAGUCAACUCCUCAGAGGUGUGUGACCGGAAUUGAUUAGCCUUGACAGGAACUAACUGAUUUCUUCCAGAAAAGCAUAUGCUGUAACUACCCCAGAGUUUUCACUAUGCCCUGUAUUACCUAAUUUUUAAAUAUUCUUUCAUGGAAAUGUACUGAGAAGGAUCUUUGAGGAACCCACCCAGAUGAUACAUCAGCUGUUGUGAAAGUUGAAAAUUGAUAAUGAAGACUAAUGACUUAUUUGACUUGUAUAGUAAAUUUGUUUUUAUUUGUUAAUGGAAUGGAUAUGACGCUGUCAAGCUCUAUUUAAUGCUUAGUUUGUGUGGCAGACCUUUCUCUGGAACAGAUGCAGCCCUUAUGGUAGGAGGGAGUUCCAGGAUAUUGAUUUAGUAAUGCUGGCUAGAUCGUGAUUUUAUAUAUAUUUAUAACGUCCAUGAAUAGUGUGAUUUGUAAGCUUUUGAUCCCAUAGUUAAAGCAGAUAAGCAUUAAACGGUGAACCUUAAGCAAAAUAGAAAAUUUCUCCCCCUAAUGUGUAAAUAAAUGUCCAUUGGAGAUUUACUUUUUGUCUCCUGAAUGCAGUAACCUUUAAUGGGACAAUCCACCAGUGGCCCACCUGAUUUGUAGUAAUGUGUAGACCACUGAAUAGCGUAAUAGUCCAGUGCUGACCUCUUGGAAAACCCUGUAGUGGAUGAUGAAGAAGCUGUAGAAAUCAGAGCAUAGACAGUGAAAGUAGUAAGGUGCUUUAGAAACCUAGGUUUCUCACUAUACAAAUCAUCAGAAGCUGUGUAUAAGAAAUAAUAAGAACAGCUCAUGCAAUGUUGGCCUCCUGAAGGAAAUAGAAUUCAAAUGAGCACUUCACUGGGGCAGAGCCUUGCGUGGAUCCAUUUGGAGUUCCGAAUGUGUUCAGUACCUUUUUGGAGGCACUGCACCUCAUGUCUUCUCUCUGAGCUCUGAGUAUUUGGAAUGAAAGACCGAGAUUGAUAGAAUUUUUGAUUCUGAGGAAUUUAGGGAUAUGAGCAUAAUGAGAAGACGCAGUGGGGGAGGUCAGUUCUUCCUGAGUGGAGAGCAGGCUCAAGGGACCAAAUGCUCACCUCCAGCUCCCAUUUCUUAUGCUUAUGCAUUUUUUGAUUUAUUUGUUGGUAAACUGAAAUAGCAAUAUCAUGAUAGAAGCGACAGUAGCAGCCAUCAUAACCAGCUCAUGAUGGAUUAAUGCUUUACAGAGACAAAUAUGGAAACUUGGAAUGUAACAAAAACUAGCCAAACACUGUAUGACCUUGGUUGUUCAAAAGACUGUUUGAACGGUAUGAUUAAAGGGAAGCCAAUUUUUUUUUGUCAUGAGACCAGAUAAAAGUGGACUGUUGAAAGAUAACUCUGUAGCAUUUUUACUGUUGGAUUGUGUUUCUUCAAGGUAUACUGUACCAGUAGGUGAAGCUAAUGAUCAACUAGUGGGUUCAAUUAUAUUUGCUGGAAAAUUAUAGAAUUGAGAUAAAAAAUUUUUUAACCCAUUCCAUUAUGUAAAGUUAACUUAACUUGAUCACUGAUUUGGUUGUUGUUAGGGUCAUGUCAAAGUUACCUAAUAAAGUUGUUGAUUUGCUAUUAGGAAAUGACCUGGUUAUAAAUAAGGUACGCCAAUGCCAGUGGCUUUUGAAGAGUCUGGUGAAGAUGUUAAAAUUGAAAAGGUGCAAGAAAAAUUUAGUGACAUACAAAAAUCUCUGAUUUUAAAUAAUCCGACGACAAAAAUUAUUGUUUCAUAUAAAGACAUGGAUAUGUGAGCCGAUGGCCUAGUGGUCUUAUUGCUGAACUGUUAAUCCAGAGACCCAGGUAAUGGUCUGGGGACCCAGGUUUGAAUCCUGCCAUUAGUGAUGGUGAAAUUUGAGUUCAAUAAAAAUCUGGAAUAUAAGAGUUUAAUGAUGACCAUGAAUCCACUGUCAAUUGUCAGGAAAAUCCCAUCUGGCUCACUAAACCUCCUUUAGGGAAAGAAAACUGCCAUCCUCACCUGGUCUGGCCUACAUAUGACUUCAGACCCACAGCAAUGUGGUUGACACUUGAUUGCCCACUGGUUAAUUAAGGAUGGGCAAUAAAUGCUGGCCUAGCCGGGGAUGCCCACAUGCUGUGAAUGAAUAAAUAGAAAGAGUCCAAAGUUCAAACUGUGAACGUUUAAAUGUUAUUUGCUGAAAACAAGCAGUUAGUGACAGUUGAAGAAUUAAAACUCCAGAACUAAGUGUCAUCAUUCAAAAAUCAGGGGUUAAAAUGAGAUGAGGCAAAAAAAAUUCCCUGAACGUCGUGAGUCUUUGGAGCCCUGUGUAAAGAGGAGAUACAGAGCGUUUGAAUUUUUUUUUAAGGCAGAGGUGGAUAUAUUCUUGUUAAGGGUAUUAGAAGCUAUCAGAACUAGCUGGAAUGUUGAUUUGACAUAAUCAGAUCAGCCACAAUUUUGUGCUACAUUUAGUAACGCAGUAGAUAAAUGUUUACAAAGUUAUAUUUUGAUACUGUUAUAGAAAAAUCAUUACUAUGGAAAAUAUUUGUCAUUUUUGUUUAUCUGAAGGUUGGACUUUUUAAGACAGUUAUGCUUUAAACUGCCUCUGUUAAUUCAAAGCAAAAUGGAGCAUCUUUGUUAAAGAGAUGUAACCUCUUACAGAAUCUUCAACAUUAAUGGGACUCGGGUUCAAUAUGGAAGAGCUUUCCCACCAGGUGAAGACAAGUUGCCAGCUGUUGGGAGGUAAUAAGAGACCGUCCAUAUUAAGUAGGGUCAGGUUGAAAAAUUAUGGCCUUCCUUGCUCAGGAUUUUUGACCUCAAGAUCUCCCAAAACUUCUUCCUGUACUUUAAUAGCCUGACAAAGUCUUCUUUGGUGAUGGCCAAUCUUGAGACAAUCCUUAACUUUUUACUUUUGAGUGCAAGCUCCUGGGCUCAAAAGAGAGAAUCAUUUAAAACUCUUUAUUAAUAAAGUCAGCACAAAACCAAAUAAUACAGUACUUUAUUGCAUUGGUGCUAGCAUAUAUUCACACGUAAAUAAAUCAUCAAGGGUUUAGAAACUGAUUCCUUGGCCAAUUUGUGAUACCCUAUGCAAACUACUUAUAAUUUCUAAGAUUAUUGGUGCAUUCCACCAUUAUACAACAUGGUGUAUGUGGUUUAAAGGAGAGUUAGGAAACCAGUUUAAGAUGGAAGAAUGUUGGCUGUCUGUCUAACGAGUAUACAAGUACACCUGGGGUCUCUCUCAAAGUGCAACAUUAUCUGUUUAUUGGCACUUCAAAUGCUUGAACCAUCGAACUGGCUCUGAAAGUCUGUACUCUCAUCUUUCGAAACAUUGAUGUUCAAAUCUCCCUCUUUAUCAUCCUUUCUGAGACUAUGAGGUAUCUGGCCAUGAAGUAACAUUCCUUUUGUGCUUUUUUCAUGCAGUUUCACAGGUUUAUCUGAGUUGGAUUUGCACCAGUUAAUCCAAAAAUUAACACUAUCAAUAUUCUACCUCACUAAUCCCUCACCAUGGUUACUAAGCACUUUAGCGCUGGCCUAACUUCAAGCAGAUGCACUUGGAACUAGUUGGGAGUAGAAAGAAACCUGAAUCAAAGGACUAUGAAUCAAAAGCCUUGUUGAUUAGCCGACUGUGUGUGGAAAAUGUUAUUAAAACAACUUAAACUCUUGUGAAUUAAUUCUAUCUUUAUUAACUUCAAUUUUUUUUAAUUUGUUGAUGGAGAGUUGCUGGCAAGGUCAACAUUUAUUGCCUAUUUGUACCAUCAACUUGCUAUGAUUAUUCAGGUGUAAAAUUCCUACUUCUAAAUAAACUUGACUAUUACUUUAAA
This is a long non-coding RNA of Rhincodon typus (whale shark), 4675 nucleotides long. RefSeq lists it as uncharacterized. The transcript is spliced from 2 exons. The record is from RefSeq and is a predicted model, not a curated record. NCBI's taxonomy places the organism in Eukaryota, Metazoa, Chordata, Chondrichthyes, Orectolobiformes, Rhincodontidae.